RNAcentral lists this ribosomal RNA (578 nucleotides) under uncultured bacterium. RNAcentral's name for it is "bacterial SSU rRNA". It matches the Rfam family "Bacterial small subunit ribosomal RNA", at positions 877 to 1449 of the family's 1533-position model. The record is from RNAcentral.
GAAUUUCCCGGCCGCGAAAAUCGCCCUUCUUAAAGGAAUCGACGGGGGCCCGCACAAGCGGUGGAGUAUGUGGUUUAAUUCGACGCAACGCGAAGAACCUUACCAGGGCUUGACAUCGACUGAAAGAUGCAGAGAUGUAUCCCUCUCUUCGGAGACAGGAAGACAGGUGGUGCAUGGCUGUCGUCAGCUCGUGUCGUGAGAUGUUGGGUUAAGUUCCGCAACGAGCGCAACCCCUAUCCUAUGUUACCAUCAUUGAGUUGGGGACUCAUAGGAGACUGCCAGGGAACAACCUGGAGGAAGGCGGGGAUGACGUCAAGUCAUCAUGCCCCUUAUGUCCUGGGCUACACACGUACUACAAUGGCCGGCAACAGAGGGAAGCGAAGCCGCGAGGCGGAGCGAACCCCAAAAACCCGGUCCCAGUUCGGAUCGCAGGCUGCAACCCGCCUGCGUGAAGUCGGAAUCGCUAGUAAUCGCAGGUCAGCAUACUGCGGUGAAUACGUUCCCGGGCCUUGUACACACCGCCCGUCACACCACGAAAGUUGGUAACACCCGAAGCCGGUGGGGUAACCUUAGGGAGC